This is a long non-coding RNA of Cavia porcellus (domestic guinea pig), 3164 nucleotides long. The record is from Ensembl. Lineage: Eukaryota; Metazoa; Chordata; Mammalia; Rodentia; Caviidae.
AACAUUCUGUUGUGCAAAUCAUAGAGCCAGACACAUGAAAGUCAACAUGAAGAGGAAAGAUUCCAGAUGCCAGAAAGGAGAAGUCUUUUCUCAAAAGAUCUCCAGAUGGCGGAAUUUCCUUAGGACAGCAGCAACACCAACAAAGUACAGACACAAGCGUGACUGUUCUCUGCACCACAGGACACGCAUCCUGCGAGGGGUGAUUUGCGGUUCAAACCAUGUGCGUGUUAUGGCAGAGUUCUACAGAUCAGGAUCCAAGGUCUCUAAACCAGCAGAGUGGAAAGCUGUUGGACAAGAAAGGAAUCAUUUCAUCAGUAAUUCUGAAAGGAAAAUGACCACCUUCUCCUGAUUUCCAAAUCCACGUAGCCUGAGGAUAGAGAAGAGACCCCCAUAAAUGAACUCUGACUCAAAGCACAAUCUACAUGCAUCAAGACAUAAAUCUAUCUUUUAGACUGUUACAAAGUCAGCUGGUUCAAUAAAGAAAGGCACCGUUACCGUUUAGAUCUUAAAAUGUUCCCCCAAAGUUUUGUUUGCAGGUGGGUCCUGGUUGCAAGUUGCAGAUGAUGGGGGCUGUGACCUGGAAAUGUGUAUUCUUGCGCCUUGACCUUGUCCCUUGCUCCUCCUCCAUGCUGGUUUCUGCAUUGGAGCCACGUGACUAUGUGUAAAACCUGAGCCAAAAUAAACCUACCCACCGUUCAGUUAUGGGUGUGAGGUAUUCUGUACCAGUGACAAGAAAGCGAUGGCAGCAGAACCAGAACACUGACCAGGAACGGUGAUCUGUGAAUGACAUCAUGGUGGUAGGGUUCUGUGGUCACAAGGACGGUGGUGUUGUCACAAGCACUCUGAACCGAAUAGGAAGAUCCAGACCCAGAAUGUGUCUUUCUUCCACUGAGGACCACUGCACCUUCCAUGGAGGAGGAGGACUAACUAAUCAGCGGUCUGUCAGGUCACUAACAAGGCUCCUCCAGGGAACUCCGUGGUAGAGGCAGAGCAGGAUCUCCCUGUGUGUCUCUUUGAUUUGCGGAUUAGGCAUAACAGAAUAGCAUGAGAAAGGGUCCCUGCUCCUUCUGACACUUCCAUUCACACACCUCUCUAGAUUCCCUUGUUGCUAAUCUAUUUCAUCAGAAAGCUCCCAGGAAAAGUAUUGGUUUUUUCUAUUUCUCACCCUAGACCAACCAGACAGCCAACAGUAUCACUUUAAGUGUCAACUACUGGACAUAUUUUUAUUUACCACUGUCUUCCAGAGCUACUCCUCAGUAGUCCUGUAAGACUCCCAGCUGUCCACUUUCCAGUUCCACCAGAACAUCAUGCAUCUGUGUUUGUGCAUCAGGCUCCAGUUUGCUUUUUCCUUGGAAAACCGGAAGGAACUCUUCAGGGGACCACAGGCAAGGAUGGAGAAGGGAGAGGCAGGGCAGCCCGUUUUAGGGCUGAAGGGUUUUGAAUCAUACUACAAACUUUGACAAUGUAAUUGUACCCUCUAGAAGAGCACCAAAUUGAUCUGCUGACAGUGCACACAUGUACCUUACAUAUACGUGAGUAUAGUCAGCUGAAAAAUGGCUCCUCCAAAGAUAUUCACGUCCUAAUCCUUAACCUGUGAACAUGACCUUACAUGGUCUGCACUAUCCUUACAUGAAAAAUCAAAGGUGAUUUAAGUUAAAGAUCAAGAAAUGGGAAGACUGCCUGGGAUUACUCUGGUAGGCGUUAAAUGUAACUGUAAGUGUCCUUAACAGGGAAAUGUGGAGAUCUGACACAAAGGAGGCAGUGGGCGAUUUGAAGAUCCUAGCCUUAAGGGCUGGAGCGAUGUAGCUUCAAGCCAAAGAACACCCAUAGCAGCCAGAAACUGAAAAGCACAAGAUAUAAUUACUCUCUGGAGCUUCUGGAGGGCCCAUACUCCCUGACACUUUUCAGUAAUACUUAAAUAUCUUGCUACCAAUACUGUAAAAGAAUAAAUUUCUGUUAUUUUCAACCAGCAAAUUAGUGUUAACACAGCUCUAGGAAACUAAUGUGGGGAUUGAGAGAAACCACAGUACAGGAUGGGAAAUUAAACUCCAUGGCCACCUCAGGGCUUACUAGCUGUGUAGUCCCAGGAGACUCCCCUGCAUCAAAAGCAUCAAAAGAGAAACUGGUAUGUUUAUACACUGGAGUACUACUCAGCUAUAAAUAAGGAUUGCAUCAAGGCUUUUACAAGUAAAUGCAUGCGACUUGAGACCAUACUCAAAAGUGAAAUAAAUCAAACUCACCGUAUGGCAAACACUGUAGUGCCUCCCUAGUGUAAGAAAGUGAAAAAGCAAGAUCCAAAAUCGACAAUAAAUAAUAAUUGUGUAAGAGUAAAUAACUGCUCAAAGGGGAAAAGUAACUGGGAUAGGGAAAAAGAGAAAAGAAGGAAGGGAAAAAGAAAUAGAAAUAAAUGUGUACACAUAAGACAGCUAAGAUGACUAUGCUACUCUACAAAUUUAGUUCUUGGAAAAGAACAGUUGCUACUUCCUGGUUUGAUCAAUUUUGUAUGUCUAUACCUGGUAACCUGAGCAAUUCUUUUGAAGGUAACAAUACACAAGAUAACAAGCCUUGUUAAAAUUCCUAACACCUUGUUUUGAAAGCCUAUAUUGUUAUUAUUUGGGUUUGUUGUUUGCCUCUUUUGCUUUUUUCCUGUAUUUUUUCUCUUUUAAAUAAAAUAAAUACAUCUAUAAUAAAUAAAGAGCGGCUGCCACUAGCUGAGGCCAGCACGGUUGCACUCCGACACCUCGGAGCCCGGCGGGGCACCAGGUUGCACACACCCCGACGUGGGGCAGCCAAGUCGAGGCCAGCUGCUCCUUCGGGCUGGGGAGGCGCGAUCCGAAGAGAGCCUGGGAUUGCUGCGGAAUCCUCCAUUCCUCGGCCACGCGAGUUCCCCCGGGUUUACGACAAAGCAGCUCAGGGCUUGGAGAGCCACGUUCAGGGGUCUCGGCCCGCUGCGGACGACUAGAGGCCUGGGGCCACGGGACCCCCUCUACGGCAGCACCGGGCUCGCCACGACUCUGUCCCACCUCUCGGCCACAGGCUCAGCCCCGGUGAGGGCAGGAAGAACAGCGUCGUUAUCCGCAUAAAGCCGGGAUUCGCUGACAUCCAUUCCUUGCACAGUAUCUAUGGAGCAACGAACAAGCGCCCUCAGGAGCCCAGCCCCUGCG